GUUCAAGUCCCUCUAUCCCCAAUAA
RNAcentral lists this transfer RNA (25 nucleotides) under Milligania lindoniana. RNAcentral describes it as "partial tRNA-Leu". The record is from RNAcentral. Lineage: Eukaryota; Viridiplantae; Streptophyta; Magnoliopsida; Asparagales; Asteliaceae.